GCUGCUGCUUCGCCACUUGCUGCUUCGCCACGAAGGAGUUCCCGUGCCCUGGGAGCGGGUUCAGGACCGCGGAUCGGAAAUUCUCCAGUACAAGAAGAGGUUCUCGGAGCUGGAGCAGCUGUUGGAGAGAUCCGGAGAGCUGGAGCAGCAGCAGCUGAGGGACGCAGAGCACAGCCAAGACCUGGAGAGUGCCCUCAUCUGGCUGGAGGAGGAGCAGCAGGGAGGGCCAGGGCUGGCAGCAUGGCCCCCUGGGCGAGCGCCUACUGAUCCCCUGUGCCCCAUUCAGGAGUGCCAGCCUGGCCCAGGUGAAUGCCAUGCUCUGAGAACAGCUGGACCAGGCAGGUUUGGCCAACCAGGCUCUGAGUGAGGAGAUACGAAAGGUGACCAGUGACUGGACUCGCAGCUGCAAGGAGCUGGAGCAGUGGGAGGCGGCAUGGAGGCGCGAGGAGGAGGUGGGCAUGGGGGUGCAGGGAGGCCGGCGAUAUAAGAGGAAGAUAAUGCACAAUUAUGCUAGUGAGACUCUCUUUUCCAAUAAUGUUUGCACUUCUCAAUACUACAUUUAAAAAGGAAAUAGGAGCACUUGAACGGUUAAGUAAGAAGAUGAACAAAAUUGAACAGAGGAAAAAUAACUGUCUGAAGACAUGUUGAAAAUACAUUUAAAGACAGUCUGUCUGAGACAGGAGCUGAGCUGGCCAAUCCAUCUUUUAAAUAAUUGAACAUCAUUCAGGUGUCAAGUAUUUGACCUGGAGCCUGGAAGGGGAGGAGAGAGUCCAAAAAAAAGUCAAAAUAUAAAGAAAAAAAAUUAAAGAACUUGUCCCACAAAUCAGGCAACCAAGGUCUAAACUUAUACCCUCUGCCUGGGUAAAUUGUUGUUGCUUCUUUCUGUGACUCUUAAAAGAUGUACCAUAUACCUCAUUUAAUGACUUUGCUUUAUUCAUGAAAACUCUAUCCCCAUGGGAAAAGCUGUUAAAUGAAAAAAGAUUUCUUUUAAGUAGAAAAAUUAUGAAAGGAUUCCUUCCAACCCUCCAUACCCAAAAUAUCUCAAAUGAAUUAUGUAUCUAUCAAUUAUCAAUAUAUAUCAAAAUAUACCAAUUAAAAAUAUCAGUUAAACAAUACGUCAAUUGAACUAUGAAAGCAAGCUUAUUUAAGUAGCAAAGAAUAACGUGAAGGUUAGUAAGUAUAGCUUAUACUUAAAAUACAAUGAAUUGAAAGCUCAUGGCACUUCAUAGAGUAGGAAGAAGAAACUUAAUAGAAAGUGGUAGUUGGGCGAGAAGGACUGCAAGGGAGUUAUUUGGAAAAUGCAUUUUUUAUUUCUGCAUCAUUUUGUUCACAAAUUAUUCCUAAUCUUUUGUGAAUUUGUGGAUUUCUUGAACUCAAACCAGACUUAAAAAUACAGUUAUAGCACAGAAAAAAAUCUUUAAUGGCAAAAUAAAAGCUAAGCAAGAGAGCCUUUCAAAACACAUGAAAAUAACACACACAUACAAAAAAAAAAGAAUAAAGAGAUGUACAAGUGACACCUCCUCAACCUUCUCACUUGGUGUACAUAUGCACAGUAAAUUAUUUUGGGCUCAGCCAAGCAUGGGAGCAAUUCAAAUAGAUCCAUAUGAUAUUCUCUGAUUAGAAACUCUUGUGGAGUAAGUUGGUGAGUGUAUCUUUGCCUAAAACAGUCAUGUCAAAAUAUAGCUUCCUAUAGCAUAUUUAUUUAGUAUCAUUUUGGUGAAAAAGUGGUUAUACAGAAUAGAAAAGAGUUGUCCAAAACUAAGUGGUUGACCUUUCCAGAGCCAUUACCUGCAGAAUUGUUAUGUAAGUCUGUUCCAUACUCGUAAAGGAAUACUCAGCUGACCCAACUGAUUUUCUCGUGUUUUUUCCUUCAAGGGCUAGUAGAAGUCUAUAUGUUGUGGUGGAAAACAACCUCAGCCCUAUAGUCCAACAUUUGCCUAUCAAAACUUGUCCUAUGAUUUAUAAAACUAGAACCUCACUGGUAAGUCACAUUCCUAGAGUCUCCCCCAUCCCUAACCCCAGUCACGGAAAAUAAAUCAAAUCAUUGUCACUCUUUCUUAACAAAGAGCAUACAUUUAAAACUUGAGUAAAAUUACAGGUACCGUCUGGGGCCUUCAAGGGGGAACUUGAAGUCUCAAUACCGCAGUUGUCCAAUCAGAGGAUCCAAGAUGAAUAUACUCAAGGACUUUAUGCUUGGCAUCCUCUGGAGACAGUACAUAACCACCAGCUUGGUUUAACUGGAGAUUCAUUUGGGUUAGGAGAAAUUAUGUAGGCAAUGUACUUAGUCAAUGGAGGCCUCAUGCCUGAAGACUUACAAGAAUCUGAAUUCGUAUGUUACUUUUCCUUUAAUGGAGUGGAAUUCCAAAUGAAAAUAAUCAAACAGCAUGUGCAUAAACAUUAGAUAUAAUACCCACAUUUACAAAGCCUUUAUAGAUAUGCAAGUGUUAUUGCGUCUGUCCCUAGCUUCUGUACAGAAUUUAAUGGGUAGCUGUUACUAUUUUAUUGCUGUAUAAAAAUGAGGAAACUGAUAAGUUGUCUAAAGGUGCACAAUCAAAACACAUCAAAGCCAUUGUGAAAUACAGGUCCCCGGAUUUCAAAAACAGAUCUUCUGCUUAUAAAUUCAGUCUUUUUCAUACUGCCAUAAACUCCAGAAUGGGAAAACAAAGUUACUAUCAGAAAAGCUUCUUUUAGCUGGGCGUGGUGGCUCAUGCCUGUAAUCGCAGCACAUUGGGAGGCCAAGACAGGCGGAUCACUUGAGGUCGG
Molecule: long non-coding RNA, 2763 nt
Filed under: Homo sapiens (human)
Lineage: Eukaryota; Metazoa; Chordata; Mammalia; Primates; Hominidae
Description: HSALNT0290468
Source: RNAcentral